RNAcentral lists this unclassified non-coding RNA (298 nucleotides) under plant metagenome. RNAcentral's name for it is "partial contains 5.8S ribosomal RNA, internal transcribed spacer 2, and large subunit ribosomal RNA". The stretch from base 1 to 105 matches the Rfam family "5.8S ribosomal RNA", at positions 50 to 154 of the family's 154-position model. The record is from RNAcentral.
GAAAUGCGAUAAGUAAUGUGAAUUGCAGAAUUCAGUGAAUCAUCGAAUCUUUGAACGCACAUUGCGCCCCCUUGUAUUCCGGGGGGCAUGCCUGUUCGAGCGUCAUUUCACCACUCAAGCCUCGCUUGGUAUUGGGCAACGCGGUCCGCCGCGUGCCUCAAAUCGACCGGCUGGGUCUUCUGUCCCCUAAGCGUUGUGGAAACUAUUCGCUAAAGGGUGUUCGGGAGGCUACGCCGUAAAACAACCCCAUUUCUAAGGUUGACCUCGGAUCAGGUAGGGAUACCCGCUGAACUUAAGC